This is a long non-coding RNA of Perca flavescens (yellow perch), 2395 nucleotides long. RefSeq lists it as uncharacterized. The record is from RefSeq and is a predicted model, not a curated record. The transcript has 4 exons. NCBI's taxonomy places the organism in Eukaryota, Metazoa, Chordata, Actinopteri, Perciformes, Percidae.
CAUCUCAUCACUCACCUGACCAGAUGGAAGAUGAGGCGCUCCAGCGUGCUGAGGUGCGUCCUGCUGAGCUGGUCGAUCACAGAAUACACCCCGCGGAUCACCUCCCGCUUGUCUGGCUGACCUGGAAAGGAAAACAAACACACCCUCAGACCGAGUAGCGUCUUCCCUUCUGAUACUGAUUCUCAGAUGGAAGAGCCUCCGGACAGACAAGCAGAGCCACUGAAGGGGCUGAAUAUAAGCUUACCCAUGGCCCUGAGGAACUCCUCGUACAGCUCAAAGGUCAUGAGAGGGCUGGGCAGGUCACGGAGCCACUGUUUGAGAACGCUGGCAAUGACGUGGAUGUUGUAGUCAUCCAGGUUCACAACGCUCACAUCUGGAACACACAAAGAUACGUUCAGGCUCGGUCCAUCAUCCAGAUGAGGGAGGAGCAGUACUCGCAGUAGGUGGGGAUGCUGUACUGUGUGGACUUGAAGAUGUGGCCGUUGUGUUCUUCCACCUGCAGGGAGGCAGCAGAGACACCAGUCAGCUCAGCUGUUCCCUCCAUGGGCUUGUACUCGGUCAUAAACUCGUCCAGGAAGACCUUGAAGGUGUUGACCCACACCUUCACCGGCGAUUCGCACCAGUCCCUCUGCUCCAGACGCAUGGUCUUCUCCAGGAUGUGCUCGAACAGGGCGUAGAGAUCCUUGUAACGGAUACUCUUCCCAUCAUCCAUCUGGUGAGCUGAACAGAGAUCCUGUGGUGCCUCAAGCAGCUGAGGACAAACAGAGAGAAAAGAGCAGCGAGGACUCACCGCCAGGGCAGUGGAGUAGGAGUUGAAGAUGUUGAUCCUGAACUCCCUCAACGCUUUCUUGAAGACGACGUCCACCAUGGUGUCCUUCUUACCGUCUUCAGACUCCAGGUCGGCGAUCUGAAGGGACAAAAAAGAUUUUCACGUUAACAGCUCAGCUCAUGGAAAAAAAGCAACUGUUUACCAAGACAUCUUUUUAAAGUUGUCUUUAUUGUGGAUGCUGUGCAAUGAAACUCUACUGUAGAAUGAUUAUUCCACCUCAAAAUAAGGUUUAAAUGCAUCUUCUUAGGCAAUUUUAGCACACAAAUAUACAAAAUAUGAAGGUAAUGUACUAUUUUGAAUCUGAUCAUAGCAUCAUCUUACGUAGUAGUAGUAGUUAGAAGUGUAUUAGGACACUAUUCACAUAACAGACACAGAGAGUGGCUGCAUAUUCUUCGUGUUACGUUUACGACUUUUAUACAUGAAUUAUAACAUUAUCUGGAUGACAGAGGAUUUUAUGAGUUUAAUUUUAUGAAAUUCAUUUAUAAGUGCUCAGCAGCUGUGUGAUCUCAACAAGCAAAGUUCUGUUAAGCUCAGUUGUGUUGGGGUGGCGCUGGAAAUCUCACAGACAGAUAUCUCAAAACCGGGACGAAUAACACCACAAUUAUGUCCUUAAAUUUGGGGGAACUGCCCCUUUAAGAUUUGGGGGUUCUAUUGUAGGUCUAGAACAAUGAAGGAGUGCACCUUUAAACUACGCAUUCAAGAUUACUUUGAACCCUGAGUUUCAGGUAAUAUGAUGCAACACUCUUACAGGGCUGGCAGAAACUCACUAUACUGUGAGCGCGCACGCACGCACGCAUUCUCCUCCGGGCCGCAGGGAAGAGCGCCAUAAAGGGCAAGCUGUGGAUCACAAGCCUAUCGGUGUGGGCUAUUAGUAACCUUAGAGCCCCUGACCUGUGACUAGGGUCUUGUUCUGAUUCCCACCCACACGCACUCACAGACAGAGUCGGAGGGGACACUCACAGAAAAGACAGUUUAUGAUGAAGAAGAGCUUUGUCAUGCACUCAAAAGAGUAGAUAUAUGUUUUUUGUUGUUGUUAAUGUAUGUGCCAACAUAGAGCAGGGAGCAGAGCAUUCACAACUUCACCUUGAUGAACCUAUUUCACUGCUUUUGCCUUUAAUGACUGUUGUUUCCUGACCUGCCUGCAACACACAUGCACACUCAACACACACACACACACACACACACACACAGGUUUGCCCUCUGACCUUCUUCAUGAGGAAGUCGUUCAUGCUGCGGUAGUCAUGGGCCGAGCUGAGGAUGUGCAGUGCGUCGUUUUGCCACUGGGCGGGUUCCAGAGCGAUGCUGCUGAUCUUCACACUGCGACGCCUCCUCAUCUUAGGAGACGGCUCCUUGUUCUCCUUACUGUCCCUGGCCCCCAGGGAGGGAGCUGCCUCCAAAUCUGGACUGUGAGGAGGAGAAGAAGGGCCUUCUGGGAGGAUGGACACAAAAAUGGAGAGAUGGUGGAUUACUAAAAAAACGAUUCUUGUUAAAUCAAGAUACUUAAAUUUGCAUUAAUUCUUCAUAAAUCAUAUUUUACCUUAUUAAAUAAUAUUCUAUGGUAUACUG